RNAcentral lists this ribosomal RNA (451 nucleotides) under uncultured bacterium. Its description in RNAcentral is "bacterial SSU rRNA". It matches the Rfam family "Bacterial small subunit ribosomal RNA", at positions 8 to 502 of the family's 1533-position model. The record is from RNAcentral.
AGAGUUUGAUCCUGGCUCAGAACGAACGCUGGCGGCAGGCUUAACACAUGCAAGUCGAACGGCUGUAGCAAUACAGCAGUGGCAGACGGGUGAGUAACACGUGGGAACCUUCCUAGGGGUACGGAACAACUCAGGGAAACUUGAGCUAAUACCGUAUACGUCCGAGAGGAGAAAGAUUUAUCGCCCUUAGACGGGCCCGCGUCGGAUUAGGUAGUUGGUGGGGUAACGGCCUACCAAGCCUACGAUCCGUAGCUGAUCUGAGAGGAUGAUCAGCCACACUGGGACUGAGACACGGCCCAGACUCCUACGGGAGGCAGCAGUGGGGAAUCUUGGACAAUGGGCGCAAGCCUGAUCCAGCCAUGCCGCGUGAGUGAAGAAGGCCUUAGGGUUGUAAAGCUCUUUUGCCAGGGACGAUAAUGACGGUACAUGGAGAAUAAGNCCCCGGCAAAAA